GGCAAGGGAAGCAGCUCAGGACUUUAGACAACGCAGCAGGUUUUAGACAACGAGGCAGUUUCUCUUAAGGUUUUCCAGUUAGUAAGCAAUAGGCGAGGAGCAGAAGGAGAAAGAGGCAGUUACUAACAAAACUAGGGUAAGUUUUAAAAAUAGGGAGGAUGGCUGACAACGUGCUGACAAAAUCCCGGGCAAAAUUUCCACUUCAGUCUCACUCAAUCACCCGAGCUGGGAGCAAGUCCUCUUCUCCGGCUGGCAGCUUGCAUCUCCCAUUAGUCCCUAGAUUCUGACUAUUCAUGCUUCUUCUGGGGCCCAUUCUCUGUUCUGGAAGUUUUCUUGGGCAAGAUUCAUUUUAAGAUGAUACUGGUUCCUAUUAGGUGUGUAGGAAAUACGCACUCUUGCAGCCUGUUCCUGAGAUAACUUCUUUACUCACAGGUCCUGCCUGGGAACUCUGGCAUCUCAGUUUAGGAUGAAGAGACUUUUGACACCUCUCUUGAUAAUACUCACAAACAGAAGCCUAAAGCUGUUUUCACAGACUCCCUGGUUCCUUUUCCACUGUGGCUUUCCCCAGGGAGGGGAAUUUUCACUCCUCUCAGAAGACUCCAAAGGCCGAAACCUAUUGUGUGGCAAAUAUGCCAACACUGCUUAAAUCUCGGAGUAAAAUUACAAGAAAAAAAGAGGAAACACCCUAAGCCUAAACCACAUGCUUGAGGUUUCAUUUUAAAAUAGGCAGAUCCUAUUCUAACUUUUCUCCAAGUCACAUGCAAUAUUUUUCUAGAAGUACAUUUUGCUUUCUACUUUUCAGGUUGGAGGUUGUUUUUUUCCAUCUGGCUUUUCCGCUUUCAACCUUGUUACAAAACUGAAGUCAACAUUUUCACAGCUUGUCAAUGGAAACCUGAUUAUGCCUCCUCAUCUCAAGAAGAAAA
Molecule: long non-coding RNA, 923 nt
Organism: Sapajus apella (tufted capuchin)
Lineage: Eukaryota; Metazoa; Chordata; Mammalia; Primates; Cebidae
Exons: 4
Source: RefSeq, a predicted model, not a curated record